ACAGAGAACAGUCCAUCUGCGGAUGUUACUGAGGGUCAAGAGGAAAGAGGAAGUGGAUGGCCACAGCCUGAUGGUAAUGUUUGGAAGUUAGGUGUGGGUUUGUAUUUUUAACAAUUUUCAGAAUUGGAAUCGUGCUUUGUGUCAUUUUGCAUCUGUGAGGGUCACCUGGACUUUAUGGCAAUCUCCAAAGGUUUAAGACGGGGCAUCUCAAUGUUCAGAAGUCUCUCCCUCCAGGGUGUGGUCUGAGCAAUAGUGAUAAAACCUAUGAAGCAUGUGUUACUAUCAGUUGUCCGUCCUGAUUUAUAUUUUUAGCUGAAAUUUUUUUAGCAAGAAUAAUGAUUUUAAAGUAUGCAAAGUGCAUUUCCAUAUUUUAUCAUUUGUCUUUGCUUUAAAAAAAAUUAUCCAGGUUAGUGCAAACAGCCCCACAUACUGACUAUUUAAAAGUAAAUAAUUCCUAAUUGGUAAAAUGCCAAAGUCUAUUUACUAAUGACGUUAAAUAUUUCUAGGAAAUUUUGUUUUUAAGGGGUGAAUUAGCUAUUCAAUUCUCCAUGACCAAGGCAUUUAAAAAUGAUAAUUAAAGAAUGCCCUGAUGUAGGAAGGUGUGGCUCAGUGGCUAGAGUGCCAUCCUGGCUUGAACAAGGCCCUGGGUUCAGGCAGAUUAAGACAGGAAGAUCAGUGCGUGGUGGUGGUGGCAAACGCCUUCAAGCCUAGCACUCAGGAGGCAGAGGCAGACAGAUCUCUGAGGGUCUCAUGUAGGCCUAGGCUGGACUCAACUCAGAAUGUUGUAGCUAAAGACAAACUUGGUUCUGAUUCUUCUGCUUCCACUUCCCCAGGCCAGCAAGGGCAAGCUACAAGCGAGGCUGGGUGGAGCGCAGGGGAGUCAUAAAUGCCGGGGAAACACUAAGAAGCCAGCUACAUCCCACAGUCUUCUUUUAAUUUGAUUGCUGUUGGUGUUUGUGUGAGAGGCUUGACUCACCCUGCCAUGCCGCCUCAGCAUCCCAGUGCUGAGGUUAUAAGAGCCAUAUCUGGCUUGCUGGAUUAUUAAAACAGUCCCCGAUUACAGUUACUCGGUUCAAAAUGAGAUGAAUGUGGGCAAGUAAUCACAGGUCUAGUGUAAAACCGUGGAUGGUGGCACUGAACUAGAGUCACCUUUGGGUGGCACAGUGGAAACAGCUAGGAUGUCGUAAAAGUCUGGGAGCCGCCUGACUGCACCUCUGCAGAGCAAAGCUGAGCUAUGAGGGAGAACUGGGCUCUCUCUCCCUGCUAGUUCCCCAGUCUCACUUGGAGAGCGCUUGAGGUGGAGGUACAGGGGAUGAGGGAGCUCACCAGUAAGUUCUUCGAAACUGUACCCACGACAACACUAAAUGCUUAGUCCCAGAAUGAGCAGUGUGGGACCAACGUUCCAUUGUGCAAUGUCCCUGUUAAUCUUGAGCCAUCUUCUUUCCCUUGUGACAGAUAAAGACAAUGUCCAAAUCAUACAUGGAAAUUCAACAGACACAACAUCUAUACAAUUCAGUGAGCAUCCAUACAGUUAGAACGGGCACUGGGAUGGAAACUGUGAAAUUUCAUACUACAUUUUAUACUUUAAGAACCGACUACCUUCUAUGCUCCUACCCACUAGUCAAACAAAAAAGAACUCCAUGACAUAACUAGAACUAGAAAAAUGAUUGGCUUUAUAUCCUCUGACAUAAAUGGUGUCAAUUUCUUGCAGUCAGCUCUGCUUACCUUUGGUGUGUGUUGUUUUUCACUUAUUUUCAAGUUUUUAAUUAGUAAAGUUUACAAAAUUAAAAAUAAGAUAAUUCAAACAAACAAGCUUACAAUGAGCAAAUCACUCCCUUGUCUUCGCAGCACAGUGCAAAGAGAAGUGCAGUCUCAGGUUGGCUGGGAUCCAGUAGAUGGAUCCUGUGACUCGCUGAUCUAGUUUCUGCCUUUAGAACACUCCCCAAGUUUGUUCCUUGAAUGUCUUGGCUGAAAACUUAAUUCCCUCCAUUUGGAAGACAGAGAUGUCCAGUUGAGCCAAGACCACUCUUGUCUCUGCACCGACCACAUCCGGUGUUCACUUCCUUCUCUGCCUUUGGCCUUCAAGGUACUCAAGACCAGGAGCACACAUUUCCUGUUCUGUUUUUCCAUGUCAUCAAGCAUGGGGAAGGCUGUCAGCAAACACGUGGGAAAUGUGAAAAAGUAGGGGGGAAGGGGCAGAGGACAAGGGAGGAGACAGACUGACAAGGACCAGUGGAAACCACCUGCUUAGUUAGGGGUGACACACUUCCAUGCAGUGCAGACCAAGUCCUCAUGGUUUCCUAAACCGGGGUCCUCACUCCCCUGGUACCAAUUAGCAUUGCAACAGACACGGAAAGCAAGAUAACACUAACAAAGAUCCACCACUGGUAUUAAACACAAAAGGCUGAGUAGUCAGUUAGGUAGCUAGUUGGCAUUUACUGACUCCAUGCUAAACCCAAUGAGUGUUAAUAGUUUUAUGACCCUGGGACAUAACCCAUAUUACAUUUGCUUUUGUUUUCUUCAAAAAAAAAAAAAAACUCACUUUAUGUAUGACUGGUGCCUUCAGCUGUCAGACAAGAGCAUGUGGUCCCCUGGAACUGGAGUUACGGAUGGCUGACUCACAGGUAAGUGCUGUGAAUUGAACUCAAGCCCCCUGCAGGAGCAACAAGGGCUCUUUAACUGCUGAAGCAUCUCUCCAGACACUCAUUUCAUUUUCUAAGUCAUUGCAAAUGAAGGUCUGCUCAUGUAAGUAGCUUCAGAUUCCAUUAUCGUCUUCAGGUUCACACGUUCACAUAUCUGGAAGAUCAGAGACGUUUCCAGAAAUUUGCCGUCCACAGUGAGUAAGGAGAGCCUCUGGCCUUCAGCUCCACAAGUCCUUUCUUCUCCAAAGUACCAAGACCUUCAAAAUGCCCCACCAUGAGCCUUAGACACAACCUAUGUUCUUCAAGGUCACACAUCUUACUGUUGGGCUCCUAGACACUCAACGAUGCAGGAGGAGGCAUUGCCACCUCAGGGGCACUGAGAUACUCAUAUAACAACUUCGUGGGAUUUCAAGAGAGGGUAUUCACUUGUUUUCCUUCUGAGAUCAAAAUCCCCCACCUUGAGAGCUGACCUACCAUAUAGAUGGAAGGAGAAAUGAUUCAGUUUUGUUUUUCCCCAAAGCUGUCAACUAUUUGAAAUUUUUACUUACUCCUUUUACGUGUUAUGUAUUUAUGAGAUACCACGUGAUAGUUCAUACUUUUAUGUACUUAUUCUGUUGUGUUUAAUAAAGGGUAAGCAUAUCUAUCCCUUCAAAUUUAAAUAUAUUAAAAUAGUAACCUACCGUGCAACCAAGCACAUG
This 3340-nucleotide long non-coding RNA is filed under the name Mus spretus (western wild mouse). RNAcentral describes it as "lncRNA (ENSMSPG00010000123.1)". The record is from RNAcentral. Lineage: Eukaryota; Metazoa; Chordata; Mammalia; Rodentia; Muridae.